RNAcentral lists this ribosomal RNA (241 nucleotides) under uncultured Pseudomonas sp. RNAcentral's name for it is "partial 16S ribosomal RNA". It matches the Rfam family "Bacterial small subunit ribosomal RNA", at positions 111 to 355 of the family's 1533-position model. Lineage: Bacteria; Pseudomonadati; Pseudomonadota; Gammaproteobacteria; Pseudomonadales; Pseudomonadaceae. The record is from RNAcentral.
UAAUGCCUAGGAAUCUGCCUGGUAGUGGGGGACAACGUUUCGAAAGGAACGCUAAUACCGCAUACGUCCUACGGGAGAAAGCAGGGACCUUCGGGCCUUGCGCUAUCAGAUGAGCCUAGGUCGGAUUAGCUAGUUGGUGAGGUAAUGGCUCACCAAGGCGACGAUCCGUAACUGGUCUGAGAGGAUGAUCAGUCACACUGGAACUGAGACACGGUCCAGACUCCUACGGGAGGCAGCAGCA